UUUGGGGGAAAUAGUGGUCCAUUAAGUUAGGGAAAAAGACAUCACCCCUUGAGAUAAAAUUAGGUUUGUUUCCUUUUACUCCUAAAAUCUUUUUACCGUGGGUAAAAAGAAGCAAUAUGGGGGGGUACAAAAGGAACCAAAUUUAAGUUUAAUUCAAGGGGUCUUGGGUCUUGAUGUCAUUUUCCCCAACAGGACGAGUCACUAUUUUCCCCAAG
This 215-nucleotide microRNA precursor is filed under the name Medicago truncatula (barrel medic). RNAcentral describes it as "MIR2670 microRNA precursor family". It matches the Rfam family "MIR2670 microRNA precursor family". The record is from Rfam by way of RNAcentral. Lineage: Eukaryota; Viridiplantae; Streptophyta; Magnoliopsida; Fabales; Fabaceae.